Molecule: ribosomal RNA, 570 nt
Filed under: uncultured fungus
Lineage: Eukaryota; Fungi
Description: eukaryotic LSU rRNA
Rfam family: 5.8S ribosomal RNA (bases 208-361)
Source: RNAcentral
CGUAACAAGGUCUCCGUAGGUGAACCUGCGGAGGGAUCAUUACACAAAUAUGAAGGCGGGCUGGAACCUCUCGGGGUUACAGCCUUGCUGAAUUAUUCACCCUUGUCUUUUGCGUACUUCUUGUUUCCUUGGUGGGUUCGCCCACCACUAGGACAAACAUAAACCUUUUGUAAUUGCAAUCGGCGUCAGUAACAAAUUAAUAAUUACAACUUUCAACAACGGAUCUCUUGGUUCUGGCAUCGAUGAAGAACGCAGCGAAAUGCGAUAAGUAGUGUGAAUUGCAGAAUUCAGUGAAUCAUCGAAUCUUUGAACGCACAUUGCGCCCUUUGGUAUUCCAAAGGGCAUGCCUGUUCGAGCGUCAUUUGUACCCUCAAGCUUUGCUUGGUGUUGGGCGUCUUGUCUCUAGCUUUGCUGGAGACUCGCCUUAAAGUAAUUGGCAGCCGGCCUACUGGUUUCGGAGCGCAGCACAAGUCGCACUCUCUAUCAGCAAAGGUCUAGCAUCCAUUAAGCCUUUUUUUCAACUUUUGACCUCGGAUCAGGUAGGGAUACCCGCUGAACUUAAGCAUAUCA